GAUGAACGCUGGCGGCGUGCCUAAUACAUGCAAGUCGAACGCUUUGUAAAGGAGCUUGCUUCUUUACAGGGAGUGGCGAACGGGUGAGUAAUACAUAAGCAAUCUGCCCAUCGGCCUGGGAUAACAGUUGGAAACGACUGCUAAUACCGGAUAGGUGAUUGAGAGGCAUCUCUCGAUCAUUAAAGUUGGGAUACAACACGGAUGGAUGAGCUUAUGGCGUAUUAGCUAGUAGGUGAGGUAACGGCUCACCUAGGCGAUGAUACGUAGCCGACCUGAGAGGGUGACCGGCCACAUUGGGACUGAGACACGGCCCAAACUCCUACGGGAGGCAGCAGUAGGGAAUUUUCGGCAAUGGGCGAAAGCCUGACCGAGCAACGCCGCGUGAGUGAAGAAGGCCUUCGGGUUGUAAAGCUCUGUUGUGAAGGAAGAACGGCUCAUACAGGGAAUGGUGGGGGAGUGACGGUACUUUACCAGAAAGCCACGGCUAACUACGUGCCAGCAGCCGCGGUAAUACGUAGGUGGCGAGCGUUAUCCGGAAUUAUUGGGCGUAAAGGGUGCGCAGGCGGUUUGUUAAGUUUAAGGUGAAAGCGUGGGGCUUAACCCCAUAUAGCCUUAGAAACUGACAGACUAGAGUACAGGAGAGGGCAAUGGAAUUC
RNAcentral lists this ribosomal RNA (656 nucleotides) under uncultured Bacillota bacterium. RNAcentral's name for it is "bacterial SSU rRNA". It matches the Rfam family "Bacterial small subunit ribosomal RNA", at positions 28 to 669 of the family's 1533-position model. The record is from RNAcentral. Lineage: Bacteria; Bacillati; Bacillota.